RNAcentral lists this long non-coding RNA (229 nucleotides) under Monodelphis domestica (gray short-tailed opossum). RNAcentral describes it as "lncRNA (ENSMODG00000041800.1)". The record is from RNAcentral. Lineage: Eukaryota; Metazoa; Chordata; Mammalia; Didelphimorphia; Didelphidae.
AUGAGCUUGGAGCCUGGCUACUUGAAGGCCCCCAUUCUCACCCAAAUGACCAAGCCAAAGUCAGAGUCUGUUUUCAGGGGCUACCUGACAAUUCCCCUUGCCCAAAUUGGUGCCUGGAAUUUAAUGACGAAAAAAGAAGCAACCCUAAAUACAACAGGGCAUGUGACGCUGAAAUCACAGGGUCCAGUCCAGGCAGAGUCUCCAGAGUCUGCAGAGGGAGCCCAGACCA